AGUAGUUUGAUCAUGGCUCAGGACGACGCUGGCGGCGUGCCUAACACAUGCAAGUCGAACGGAACUGCUUCGAAGGAUUUCUUCGGAAUGACAUUGAUUCAGUUUAGUGGCGGACGGGUGAGUAACGCGUGAGUAACCUGCCUUCAAGAGGGGGAUAACAUUCUGAAAAGAAUGCUAAUACCGCAUGACAUAUGAUUGUCACAUGGCAGACAUAUCAAAGAUUUAUCGCUUGAAGAUGGACUCGCGUCCGAUUAGUUAGUUGGUGAGGUAACGGCCCACCAAGACCGCGAUCGGUAGCCGGACUGAGAGGUUGAACGGCCACAUUGGGACUGAGACACGGCCCAGACUCC
RNAcentral lists this ribosomal RNA (350 nucleotides) under uncultured Ruminococcus sp. RNAcentral's name for it is "bacterial SSU rRNA". It matches the Rfam family "Bacterial small subunit ribosomal RNA", at positions 1 to 339 of the family's 1533-position model. Lineage: Bacteria; Bacillati; Bacillota; Clostridia; Eubacteriales; Oscillospiraceae. The record is from RNAcentral.